CAGUAGCCACGGGAACACGUAGGGGGCAAGCGUUAUCCGGAAUUAUUGGGCGUAAAGCGUGCGCAGGCGGUCCGCUAAGACAGAUGUGAAAUCCCCGGGCUUAACCUGGGAACUGCAUUUGUGACUGGCGGGCUAGAGUAUGGCAGAGGGGGGUAGAAUUCCACGUGUAGCAGUGAAAUGCGUAGAGAUGUGGAGGAAUACCGAUGGCGAAGGCAGCCCCCUGGGCCAAUACUGACGCUCAUGCACGAAAGCGUGGUGAGCAAACAGGAUUAGAUACCCCCGUAGUCCCUGUCUCUUAUAC
Molecule: ribosomal RNA, 301 nt
Filed under: uncultured bacterium
Lineage: Bacteria
Description: partial 16S ribosomal RNA
Rfam family: Bacterial small subunit ribosomal RNA
Source: RNAcentral